UGGGGAAUAUUGCACAAUGGGCGCAAGCCUGAUGCAGCCAUGCCGCGUGUAUGAAGAAGGCCUUCGGGUUGUAAAGUACUUUCAGCGGGGAGGAAGGUGUUGUGGUUAAUAACCACAGCAAUUGACGUUACCCGCAGAAGAAGCACCGGCUAACUCCGUGCCAGCAGCCGCGGUAAUACGGAGGGUGCAAGCGUUAAUUGGAAUUACUGGGCGUAAAGCGCACGCAGGCGGUCUGUCAAGUCGGAUGUGAAAUCCCCGGGCUCAACCUGGGAACUGCAUCCGAAACUGGCAGGCUUGAGUCUUGUAGAGGGGGGUAGAAUUCCAGGUGUAGCGGUGAAAUGCGUAGAGAUCUGGAGGAAUACCGGUGGCGAAGGCGGCCCCCUGGACAAAGACUGACGCUCAGGUGCGAAAGCGUGGGGAGCAAACA
Molecule: ribosomal RNA, 427 nt
Filed under: uncultured bacterium
Lineage: Bacteria
Description: partial 16S ribosomal RNA
Rfam family: Bacterial small subunit ribosomal RNA
Source: RNAcentral